RNAcentral lists this ribosomal RNA (452 nucleotides) under uncultured bacterium. RNAcentral's name for it is "bacterial SSU rRNA". It matches the Rfam family "Bacterial small subunit ribosomal RNA", at positions 29 to 524 of the family's 1533-position model. The record is from RNAcentral.
AGCGAACGCUGGCGGCAGGCUUAACACAUGCAAGUCGAGCGGGCGUAGCAAUACGUCAGCGGCAGACGGGUGAGUAACGCGUGGGAACAUACCUUUUGGUUCGGAACAACACAGGGAAACUUGUGCUAAUACCGGAUAAGCCCUUACGGGGAAAGAUUUAUCGCCGAAAGAUUGGCCCGCGUCUGAUUAGCUAGUUGGUGAGGUAACGGCUCACCAAGGCGACGAUCAGUAGCNGGUCUGAGAGGAUGAUCAGCCACAUUGGGACUGAGACACGGCCCAAACUCCUACGGGAGGCAGCAGUGGGGAAUAUUGGACAAUGGGCGCAAGCCUGAUCCAGCCAUGCCGCGUGAGUGAUGAAGGCCCUAGGGUUGUAAAGCUCUUUUGUGCGGGAAGAUAAUGACGGUACCGCAAGAAUAAGCCCCGGCUAACUUCGUGCCAGCAGCCGCAGUAAU